CAGCCGCGCGGGAAUACGUAGGUGGCAAGCGUUGUCCGGAAUUAUUGGGCGUAAAGGGCUCGCAGGCGGUUUCUUAAGUCUGAUGUGAAAGCCCCCGGCUCAACCGGGGAGGGUCAUUGGAAACUGGGAAACUUGAGUGCAGAAGAGGAGAGUGGAAUUCCACGUGUAGCGGUGAAAUGCGUAGAGAUGUGGAGGAACACCAGUGGCGAAGGCGACUCUCUGGUCUGUAACUGACGCUGAGGCUCGAAAGCGUGGGUAGCGAACAGGAUUAGAUACCCCGGUAGUCCCUGUCUCUUAUACA
RNAcentral lists this ribosomal RNA (301 nucleotides) under uncultured bacterium. RNAcentral's name for it is "partial 16S ribosomal RNA". It matches the Rfam family "Bacterial small subunit ribosomal RNA", at positions 509 to 808 of the family's 1533-position model. The record is from RNAcentral.